Molecule: ribosomal RNA, 450 nt
Filed under: uncultured bacterium
Lineage: Bacteria
Description: partial 16S ribosomal RNA
Rfam family: Bacterial small subunit ribosomal RNA
Source: RNAcentral
GUGGGGAAUUUUGGACAAUGGGCGCAAGCCUGAUCCAGCAAUGCCGCGUGCAGGAAGAAGGCCUUCGGGUUGUAAACUGCUUUUGUACGGAACGAAACGGUCCGGGUUAAUACCCUGGGCUAAUGACGGUACCGUAAGAAUAAGCACCGGCUAACUACGUGCCAGCAGCCGCGGUAAUACGUAGGGUGCAAGCGUUAAUCGGAAUUACUGGGCGUAAAGCGUGCGCAGGCGGUUUUGUAAGACAGGCGUGAAAUCCCCGGGCUCAACCUGGGAAUUGCGCUUGUGACUGCAAGGCUGGAGUGCGGCAGAGGGGGAUGGAAUUCCGCGGGUAGCAGUGAAAUGCGUAGAUAUGCGGAGGAACACCGAUGGCGAAGGCAAUCCCCUGGGCCUGCACUGACGCUCAUGCACGAAAGCGUGGGGAGCAAACAGGAUUAGAUACCCUUGUAGUCC